CCCGUCUGCAGUGGCGAUUUGUUACCGGAUUGCGGGCCACUUUAAACAUGCCGCUAAAGAGGAACGGGCGCAGCCCCG
Molecule: non-coding RNA, 78 nt
Filed under: Pseudooctadecabacter jejudonensis
Lineage: Bacteria; Pseudomonadati; Pseudomonadota; Alphaproteobacteria; Rhodobacterales; Paracoccaceae
Source: RNAcentral